UCGCAACCGAGAUUUUGGUUCGGAAGUCGGUUACGUAAGGGGAAGGUAUUAGCACCCCUUACGUCCAUGGUACUCCAUGGGAACCAUUUAGGUUGUUUUACAUACAUGGGAUUUAUCUAUUAUUGUUUUAAUUUCAAAAGAAUGUGUGAAAAGAAGGGGGUGUUUUUGUUAUUAUAGUGCUCGCCAAGGAUUGGGGCUCUUGUUCCUACGUAUCACUCAUUCGGGGAUGAGGAAUCAGAGCUCCGUAGUUCGGAGUAGAAAAUGUUUGUGUGUUGGUUGAUUUUACCUUUGAGAAAAGGGUUUUCAGGAUGAUGCCCUAAGGCACAAAAAUAGAGGAAUCAGAGCUCCGUAGUUCGGAGUAGAAAAUGUUUGUGUGUUGGUUGAUUUUACCUUUGAGAAAAGGGUUUUCAGGAUGAUGCCCUAAGGCACAAAAAUGAGUUUGAUGAGUUGUAUUGUUUUCACCUUGAAUAAGGGUUUUAUGGAAGAAUGUUUGUGAUUAUUUUGUACUAAAGUCUAUGGGAGGAGGUGAUUAUUCUAGACAACAAGCCAAGCGUCUUGAAUCCAAAAUAAUAAGAGUAAGGGUAGGAAUGCUCCAUUCUCACUCAUUCUCCACCACUUAAGGCUCGUGGCGCACAAUAACAAUCGUAAUUAUUAAGUGUUUUGAAUUUGAUUAUAAAAUGCCACUUGACGUUGAAUCAAGGGUUUGUUUUAUUUAAUUAUGAAAUUUGGCUUAUGCAACAUGAAUGCAAAGCAACCAACAAGAAAUUAAAGAGUCUCAUUGUAAGGUAGCCCAAGAGAAAGCCUUUUGUGUGCAAAAGUGACCUAAGUUAAACAAAGGAUAAUGGUCUUACAAAUAUGUCCCCCUAAGGUGGUGCCAUGAUGCCAUUCUUACAACAUGCAUGUAAGUUACGGAUGAAAAUCCAAGUGUUUACAAAGUAUCACAAAGAGUAAAGAAAAGGCCUCCAAGCAAAGGUCCUAAGAUGAAAUUCUCUAAGUCCAAGUUGAUUAAGAGUAGAGUGAAUAUUUUUGGUCUUUAUCAUUUUAUCAUGUUUUUGUUAUUUUUAAUGUAUGAUGAUAAUAAAAUAAAUAACAAGUAAAUAAAUAUGCAUGAUGAGUUUGUACAAUGAUGAUGAUAAUGAGUACUUGAAGGUAAAUGUUCAAUAAAAUAAAUUGCAA
Molecule: long non-coding RNA, 1176 nt
Filed under: Lathyrus oleraceus (garden pea)
Lineage: Eukaryota; Viridiplantae; Streptophyta; Magnoliopsida; Fabales; Fabaceae
Description: Pisum sativum (pea) long non-coding RNA (PSAT_LNC034818)
Source: RNAcentral